Long non-coding RNA from Gavialis gangeticus (Gharial), 96 nucleotides. RefSeq lists it as uncharacterized. Lineage: Eukaryota; Metazoa; Chordata; Crocodylia; Gavialidae. The record is from RefSeq and is a predicted model, not a curated record. The transcript is spliced from 3 exons.
CACCUCUAUGAUACUUGACUGUAUUUUGAGCUAUUAAUGUAGUCACCUCUAGAUACAUUUCAUAAACAGAGAUAUCAGUAUAAAAAUAUUUUUAAA